UAUGACCAUAUCACAUUGAAACAUUACUUCUCCUAUGAUCAUCAAAGUUAAGCAGUGUUGUGCCUGGUCAGUACCUAGAUGGGUGACCACUUGGGAAUACCACAUGCUGUAAG
This is a non-coding RNA of Acanthosepion pharaonis, 113 nucleotides long. Lineage: Eukaryota; Metazoa; Mollusca; Cephalopoda; Sepiida; Sepiidae. The record is from the annotation of a GenBank genome assembly.